CUGGGAUUAGAUACCCUGUUAUUUAAAAAAUAAUUAAAUUAAAUAGAGUAGUAUUAGUUAUAUUCUUAAAACUUAAUAAAUUUGGCGGUAUUUUAAUCUAUUCAGAGGAACUUGUUUUAUAAUUGAUAAUCCUCAAUUUAUCUUACUUAAUUUAAUUAAAUUUGUAUAUCGUUGUCAUAAGAAUUUCUUAAAAAAGUAAUAAUUUUCUAAAAUUUUUAUUAAUAAUAAUGUCAAAUCAAGGUGCAGUUUAUGAUUAAGUAAAAAUGAGUUACAAUAAAAUUAUUUAUUAUGGAUUAUAAAUUGAAAUAUUUUUAUAAAGGUGGAUUUGAUAGUAAAAUAAAAUUAAUAAUUUUAUUUGAUUAUAGUUCUAAAAUAUGUACAAAUCGCCCGUCACUCUCUGA
Molecule: ribosomal RNA, 401 nt
Filed under: Viridivora seguyi
Lineage: Eukaryota; Metazoa; Arthropoda; Insecta; Diptera; Mycetophilidae
Description: partial 12S ribosomal RNA
Source: RNAcentral